RNAcentral lists this ribosomal RNA (497 nucleotides) under uncultured bacterium. Its description in RNAcentral is "partial 16S ribosomal RNA". It matches the Rfam family "Bacterial small subunit ribosomal RNA", at positions 28 to 507 of the family's 1533-position model. The record is from RNAcentral.
GAUGAACGCUGGCGGCGUGCCUAAUACAUGCAAGUCGAGCGAACAGACGAGGAGCUUGCUCCUCUGACGUUAGCGGCGGACGGGUGAGUAACACGUGGAUAACCUACCUAUAAGACUGGGAUCACUUCGGGAAACCGGAGCUAAUACCGGAUAAUAUCUUGAACCGCAUGGUUCAAUAGUGAAAGACGGUUUUGCUGUCACUUAUAGAUGGAUCCGCGCCGCAUUAGCUAGUUGGUAAGGUAACGGCUUACCAAGGCGACUAUGCGUAGCCGACCUGAGAGGGUGAUCGGCCACACGGGAACUGAGACACGGUCCAGACUCCUACGGGAGGCAGCAGUAGGGAAUCUUCCGCAAAGGGCGUAAGCCUGACGGAGCAACGCCGCGUGAGUGAUGAAGGUCUUCGGAUCGUAAAACUCUGUUAUUAGGGAAGAACAAAUGUGGAAGGAACUAAGCACGUCUUGACGGUACCUAAUCAGAAAGCCACGGCUAACUACGUA